UACAGAGGGGGCGAGCGUUAUUCGGAAUUAUUGGGCGUAAAGGGCGCGUAGGCGGCCUUUCAAGUGACGGGUGAAAUCCCUCGGCUUAACCGAGGAACUGCCUGUCAGACUGGAAGGCUUGAGACCGGGAGAGGUGAGUGGAAUUCCAGGUGUAGCGGUGAAAUGCGUAGAUAUCUGGAGGAACACCGGUGGCGAAGGCGGCAUCCUGGACCAACACUGACGCUGAGUGAGCGAAAGCCAGGGGAGCAAACGGG
This 254-nucleotide ribosomal RNA is filed under the name uncultured bacterium. RNAcentral describes it as "partial 16S ribosomal RNA". It matches the Rfam family "Bacterial small subunit ribosomal RNA", at positions 524 to 776 of the family's 1533-position model. The record is from RNAcentral.